RNAcentral lists this transfer RNA (76 nucleotides) under Nitrospinaceae bacterium. Its description in RNAcentral is "tRNA-Ala". It matches the Rfam family "tRNA". Rfam says of the family: Transfer RNA (tRNA) molecules are approximately 80 nucleotides in length. Their secondary structure includes four short double-helical elements and three loops (D, anti-codon, and T loops). Further hydrogen bonds mediate the characteristic L-shaped molecular structure. tRNAs have two regions of fundamental functional importance: the anti-codon, which is responsible for specific mRNA codon recognition, and the 3' end, to which the tRNAs corresponding amino acid is attached (by aminoacyl-tRNA synthetases). tRNAs cope with the degeneracy of the genetic code in two manners: having more than one tRNA (with a specific anti-codon) for a particular amino acid; and 'wobble' base-pairing, i.e. permitting non-standard base-pairing at the 3rd anti-codon position. Lineage: Bacteria; Pseudomonadati; Nitrospinota; Nitrospinia; Nitrospinales; Nitrospinaceae. The record is from RNAcentral.
GGGGGUGUAGCUCAGCUGGGAGAGCGCGUGGUUCGCAAUCACGAGGUCAGGGGUUCGAGCCCCCUCACCUCCACCA